RNAcentral lists this long non-coding RNA (537 nucleotides) under Coturnix japonica (Japanese quail). RNAcentral describes it as "lncRNA (ENSCJPG00005011639.1)". The record is from RNAcentral. Lineage: Eukaryota; Metazoa; Chordata; Aves; Galliformes; Phasianidae.
CUAGGGAAGAGUUUGCUGAUGGGUUAGAGAUGGGUUGGCUGGAAAUGUUUUAAAAUGUGUUUGAUUUUCUGGAAUUGCCUUCCACAGACCAAUUUCUUCUUCAUGGCAUCUCAUGUGAGAAUUACUCAUUAGAGUCACAACAUGAUUCCCUGAAUGGCUGACUCAUGAAUCCUUCUCAUGUCUCAAAUUGCCAUGUAUACAGCAGAUCAGAUUUUGCUGAUGUGAUUGACUGCACCUGAAGUUACAGCUACUUGGCCCAUUACAAGAAGAAAUGAAUCGACUCAAUUAAAUUACAGAGGAAUGUCUCAAAAAAUUCUCAGAAUCUACAGUUUAUCUGGCUGCAUUUCACAAGAAUCUUCACUGCUACUGGAUUUAGAGGAGAUUUUGAAGGACAGAUUUAAAGAAAAGAAAGCAAGCUGCAAACAAAGACCAUGACAGCCUUUCCUUCUGAUGUCUGUACAACAUAUUGGUGGAACUGUCAUUUGAUGCUACAGUAGUAAAUAACUGAUUUUGCCGUAUGCUUAGAAGAUUUCAAAG